GUGAAGGAUCAGAACAGCGUGCUU
Molecule: microRNA, 24 nt
Filed under: Gallus gallus (chicken)
Lineage: Eukaryota; Metazoa; Chordata; Aves; Galliformes; Phasianidae
Description: gga-miR-6635-5p
Source: miRBase by way of RNAcentral